CGGUUCAAAAGUCAUGAGAUGAGGCCAAGCAAGUCGAGUGCCUUGAUUGUGGAGCACGGGGUCCUGAGAGAGAGAGAAGCCACACUGGCCCGAUGCUGAGUGUCUGAACUGAGGGGGAGUGAGAGCGUUCACGUGGAAACCUUGGAGGAAUUCAAAGAGACAAUGAGAAACUUCGCAGUGGAGCAGUCUGGCAGAUAACACUUUCACCAAGUGAUCGAAAUGAAUAGCAUCAGUCAUAAGACUGAUUGAAGUUAUGUACCACGCGGUAGGGUAUGAGAACUCAGCAUCAUACCUGUGAUACUCCUGCCAAAGAUGCAGAACCUGGAUCUGUUCAUGAAGAACCAUCAAGCAACCCCAAACCGAGACGCAUUACACAACGAAAUAACUGGCCUCUAGUUUUAAAAGUAUCAAGCUCAUGAAAGUCAAGCAAACAGAAGCCUUGAUUCUGAACUGGAAGCUUUCGCUGUGAAAAAGGAUCAUGGUGGACUGAUUGGUGAACCUAGGGUUAGAUGGUAGUAAUGUAUCAAUGUUAACUUCCUGAUUUUCGUAGGUGUAGGACAAUGUCAUUGUGUAUAAGAAAUACACAAUUUGGAGGUGAUGGGCCGUUGUGUUGGCAACUAACUUUCAAAGAGCUAAGAAAAAAUAAGUUAUACUAUUCUAUUCUUGCACUGUUCUCUAAGUUUAAAAUUCUUUCAAAAUAAAAAAAAACAAUAAAAAUUAAUGGUGGCAGUGCU
Molecule: long non-coding RNA, 734 nt
Organism: Symphalangus syndactylus (siamang)
Lineage: Eukaryota; Metazoa; Chordata; Mammalia; Primates; Hylobatidae
Source: RefSeq, a predicted model, not a curated record